This 69-nucleotide transfer RNA is filed under the name Leptopelis vermiculatus (vermiculated tree frog). RNAcentral describes it as "tRNA-Trp". It matches the Rfam family "tRNA". From Rfam's summary of the family: Transfer RNA (tRNA) molecules are approximately 80 nucleotides in length. Their secondary structure includes four short double-helical elements and three loops (D, anti-codon, and T loops). Lineage: Eukaryota; Metazoa; Chordata; Amphibia; Anura; Arthroleptidae. The record is from RNAcentral.
AGAAAUUUAGGAUAAAUAAACCAAAAGCCUUCAAAGCUUUAAAUAAGAGUUAAACUCUCUUAAUUUCUG